UCCGUAGGGGGCAAUCGUUGUCCGGAAUUAUUGGGCGUAAAGCGCGCGCAGGCGGUCUCUUAAGUCUGAUGUGAAAGCCCACGGCUCAACCGUGGAGGGUCAUUGGAAACUGGGAGACUGGAGUAUAGGAGAGGAAAGUGGAAUUCCACGUGUAGCGGUGAAAUGCGUAGAGAUGUGGAGGAACACCAGUGGCGAAGGCGACUUUCUGGCCUAUUACUGACGCUGAGGCGCGAAAGCGUGGGGAGAGAACAGG
This 253-nucleotide ribosomal RNA is filed under the name uncultured bacterium. Its description in RNAcentral is "partial 16S ribosomal RNA". It matches the Rfam family "Bacterial small subunit ribosomal RNA", at positions 524 to 776 of the family's 1533-position model. The record is from RNAcentral.